This 899-nucleotide ribosomal RNA is filed under the name uncultured archaeon. RNAcentral describes it as "bacterial SSU rRNA". It matches the Rfam family "Archaeal small subunit ribosomal RNA", at positions 5 to 879 of the family's 1478-position model. The record is from RNAcentral.
CGGUUGAUCCUGCCGGACCCUACUGCUAUCGGGGUGGGACUAAAACAUGCAAGUCGUGCGCCUCCAAGCCAUGGUGGAGACGCGGCAUACGGCUCAGUAACACGUGGCUAACCCACCCUUGAGACGGGGACAACCCCGGGAAACUGGGGUUAAUCCCCGAUAGGUGAAGACACCUGGAAUGGGUCUUCACCCAAAGGACGUCCAAACCAUGCUUUUGGACGUCGCUCAAGGACGGAGCCGCGGCCGAUCAGGUUGUUGGUGAGGCAAAGGCUCACCAAGCCUAUAACCGGUACGGGCCGUGAGAGCGGGAGCCCGGAGAUGGGCACUGAGACAAGGGCCCAGGCCCUACGGGGCGCAGCAGUUGCGAAAACUCCGCAAUGCACGAAAGUGUGACGGGGCUACCCCGAGUGCCGCCCGCUGAGGGCGGCUUUUCCCCGGUGUAAGGAGCCGGAGGAAUAAGGAGAGGGCAAGUCUGGUGUCAGCCGCCGCGGUAAUACCAGCUCUCCGAGUGGUAGGGAUAAUUAUUGGGCUUAAAGCGUCCGUAGCCGGCCUAACAAGUCUCCCGUUAAAUCCAACGAUUCAAUCGUUGGACUGCGGGAGAUACUGUUAGGCUAGGGGGCGGUAGAAGCCGACGGUAUUCUCGGGGUAGGGGUAAAAUCCUAUAAUCCCGGGAAGACCACCAGUGGCGAAGGCUGUCGGCUAGAACGCGCCCGACGGUGAGGGACGAAAGCUGGGGGAGCGAACCGGAUUAGAUACCCGGGUAGUCCCAGCUGUAAACGAUGCGGGCUAGGUGUUGGGGCGGCUACGGGCCGCUUCAGUGCCGCAGGGAAACCAUUAAGCCCGCCGCCUGGGGAGUACGGCCGCAAGGCUGAAACUUAAAGGAAUUGGCGGGGGAGCAC